GAUGAACGCUGGCGGCGUGCUUAACACAUGCAAGUCGAACGGUGAAGCAGGAGCUUGCUCUUGUGGAUCAGUGGCGAACGGGUGAGUAACACGUGAGCAACCUGCCCCUGACCCUGGGAUAAGCGCUGGAAACGGCGCCUAAUACUGGAUAUGUGAUGUGACCGCAUGGUCUGCAUCUGGAAAGAAUUUCGGUUGGGGAUGGGCUCGCGGCCUAUCGGCUUGUUGGUGAGGUAAUGGCUCACCAAGGGGUCGACGGGCAGCCGGCCUGAGAGGGUGACCGACCACACUGGGACUGAGAAACGGCCCAGACUCCUACGGGAGGCAGCAGUGGGGAAUAUUGCACAAUGGGCGGAAGCCUGAUGCAGCAACGCCGCGUGAGGGAUGACGGCCUUCGGGUUGUAAACCUCUUUUAGCAGGGAAGAAGCGAAAGUGACGGUACCUGCAGAAAAAGCACCGGCUAACUACGUGCCAGCAGCCGCCGUAA
RNAcentral lists this ribosomal RNA (484 nucleotides) under uncultured bacterium. RNAcentral describes it as "partial 16S ribosomal RNA". It matches the Rfam family "Bacterial small subunit ribosomal RNA", at positions 28 to 523 of the family's 1533-position model. The record is from RNAcentral.